This is a long non-coding RNA of Osmia bicornis bicornis, 323 nucleotides long. RefSeq lists it as uncharacterized. The transcript has 2 exons. The record is from RefSeq and is a predicted model, not a curated record. NCBI's taxonomy places the organism in Eukaryota, Metazoa, Arthropoda, Insecta, Hymenoptera, Megachilidae.
AAGUUUAGCCAGGGUUAGUCGUUGGUGUCCACGUAAGGGGGCCGGAGGAGCGAAACGGUGGCGAAAAACGAGGAAAGGGUGGUCGCGCGAGUGAAUUACGAAGGAAGAAGGGAAAGGAAUCGAGUUCGAGUCAGCAACAGGAGGGUGGAGAUAGAAGAGGAAGAAAAAGGAAAGGGUGAAUCGAGGUUCGAGAGGAAUCUGAAGAAUCUUACCAGCUCCUGUAUCCGGGUGUACCAGGUACCGCUCCAUUCGCAGCGGCCGCAGCCUCCCUCUGCUUUUUGUUCACAAGGAAGCUCUGAAAUCGUAAGUUUAUUUGAAACUUU